CUUGAUACCAUUUACCGAGAAACAACAUACAAGGAAAAAAUACACUUGACCACUUAGUUCACUUGUAUACAUUCAAUGGCGACUUCAACGAAAUCAUCAAGCAUUAGAAAAGCACAAGUGACAGUUUCAUGCUUUUUCUGCAAAGGUCAAGAAAUCAAAUGGACAUGUGUGGAUUGCAAUGUACGCAUGUGUAACUCCUGUAAAAUUACUGUCCAUCAAGGACUUCAGUGUUCACAAGAUCAUGAUGUUAUUUCUAUUCAGGAUAUCAUUCAGUCAUCACCAAGUUCACAGGAGGUAAUGUCUGUAGUUAUUGCAUCAGUUUUCAAUUCAUACACAACUACUCUGCCUGCUGUUCAUACUUUACUUUGCUCGGACGACGGUUUACUUUACUAUACCUUUUGCCAUAUACAAUCGGAGGGAAAUCAGUUUGUAAAAGGUAAACUCUUAAAAUCAUCAAUAAAGAUAUUGCAGA
Molecule: long non-coding RNA, 472 nt
Filed under: Mytilus galloprovincialis (Mediterranean mussel)
Lineage: Eukaryota; Metazoa; Mollusca; Bivalvia; Mytilida; Mytilidae
Source: RNAcentral